This 439-nucleotide ribosomal RNA is filed under the name uncultured bacterium. RNAcentral describes it as "partial 16S ribosomal RNA". It matches the Rfam family "Bacterial small subunit ribosomal RNA", at positions 339 to 795 of the family's 1533-position model. The record is from RNAcentral.
CUACGGGCCGCACCAGUGAGGAAUAUUGCACAAUGGGGGGAACCCUGAUGCGGCAACGCCGCGUGGAGGAUGACGCAUUUCGGUGUGUAAACUCCUUUUAUAUGUCAAGAAAAUGACGGUAGCAUAUGAAUAAGCACCGGCUAACUCCGUGCCAGCAGCCGCGGUAAUACGGAGGGUGCAAGCGUUACUCGGAAUCACUGGGCGUAAAGGACGCGUAGGCGGGCUUGUAAGUCAGGUGUGAAAUCCUACAGCUUAACUGUAGAACUGCACUUGAAACUACGAGCCUAGAGUAUGGGAGGGGCAGAUGGAAUUAGUGGUGUAGGGGUAAAAUCCGUAGAUAUCACUAGGAAUACCUAAAGCGAAGGCGAUCUCCUGGAACAUUACUGACGCUAAGGCGUGAAAGCGUGGGGAGCAAACAGGAUUAGAUACCCGUGUAGUC